AUGAAAGAGUAUGUAGAUGCUGCCAAAUUUCGUGGUCAGAAUGGAUGGACGAAAGAAGGAUGGAAUUGCAUGGCUACACGCUUGAACAAUCAGUUUCCGAGAGCUAAUUUUAUUGUUUCUCAACUAAAAUUUAGAGAGCAGCGGUUGAAGAAAGAUUAUUUUACUGUCAAAUCUAUUGUAGAGAAAAGUGGCUUCAGUUUUGAUCCUAUGACAAAAAUGCAAACGACCAUUGAUGAAAAAUGGGAUGAAUUGAGCACAGAAUAACAGAAGUGGAGAUACAAAGCAUUCCCUUACUAUGAUGAUUUGUCUACAAUUUAUGAUGGUAUGUUGGUUUCACAUGUAAUGAAUUUAGCAUAUGUUUUCGCUGCUUGUAGUUUACAAUCUAUUCGUCUAUACUCAGGUAAAACAGCAGAGGGGAAGGGUUGUAAGAGGACAACUGAUCAGGUUGAAGAGAAGAGAAGUUCAGCUACAGAUUUGCCACAAGGGGAAACCUUCACACAACAAGUUCUAAAUGCCGCUGGGCUUAAUUCGCCUAGUCCAACAUUACAGGCUCCAGGCUUUGAAGAUCAACAUUAUGAGUGGAGUCAAGGCAUAUAUGGUGAGGAUGUUGAAGUAUUUCCUGUUGAGAACACAUAAUGUAUGGAGAAUACUAGUAACCAAUUUCCCAAUGAAGACAUGAACACACUUCGUGACCCACCACCUAUGAAAAAGGCUAGGACUUCUAAAGGCAAUGAUGAAGGUAAGGCUAAGAGAGGCAAAGACACCGCGAUUGAAUAUCUAGUUGCAGUUAGAAAAGAAGAACUUCAAACUUAUGUGGAUGUGAAGACGAAGCAAAUUGAGAGCUAUAGAGACGUGAAAAUGGCGCUGAUGGAAAAGGAUCCCGACAAAGAUCCUUAUUGCAUUGCCAAACUUAAGACAAUACCAGAUCUUUCAGCAAGUGAACAUCUGAAGAUGAUCGAUUAUCUGAAAGGACAAAGAGUUGACGAAAUCUUCAUGACAGCGGAGCAUUAUGUUGUUCUGGAGAUCCUCAAGAAAGUGCUUGGCCGUGAAAUUUAA
RNAcentral lists this ribosomal RNA (1056 nucleotides) under Triticum aestivum (bread wheat). RNAcentral describes it as "partial small subunit ribosomal RNA". Lineage: Eukaryota; Viridiplantae; Streptophyta; Magnoliopsida; Poales; Poaceae. The record is from RNAcentral.